RNAcentral lists this ribosomal RNA (435 nucleotides) under uncultured bacterium. Its description in RNAcentral is "partial 16S ribosomal RNA". It matches the Rfam family "Bacterial small subunit ribosomal RNA", at positions 29 to 507 of the family's 1533-position model. The record is from RNAcentral.
AGCGAACGCUGGCGGCAGGCUUAACACAUGCAAGUCGAGCGGGCAUCUUCGGAUGUCAGCGGCAGACGGGUGAGUAACACGUGGGAACGUACCCUUCGGUUCGGAACAACUCUGGGAAACUGGAGCUAAUACCGGAUACGCCCUUAUGGGGAAAGGUUUACUGCCGAAGGAUCGGCCCGCGUCUGAUUAGCUAGUUGGUGGGGUAACGGCAUACCAAGGCGACGAUCAGUAGCUGGUCUGAGAGGAUGAUCAGCCACACUGGGACUGAGACACGGCCCAGACUCCUACGGGAGGCAGCAGUGGGGAAUAUUGGACAAUGGGCGCAAGCCUGAUCCAGCCAUGCCGCGUGAGUGAUGAAGGCCUUAGGGUUGUAAAGCUCUUUUGUCCGGGACGAUAAUGACGGUACCGGAAGAAUAAGCCCCGGCUAACUUCGUG